This 208-nucleotide long non-coding RNA is filed under the name Musa acuminata (dwarf banana). RNAcentral describes it as "long non-coding RNA (MACU_LNC007880)". Lineage: Eukaryota; Viridiplantae; Streptophyta; Magnoliopsida; Zingiberales; Musaceae. The record is from RNAcentral.
CGAAAUCAGGAAAAACGAUUUUGAUGAUGAUGUUAAUUUUGAUUCCUUGAAUUUAAAUGAAACCCCGUCUCCAACUAGCAACUUGGAUGCAUCUACUUCCGAAACAUCCUUACCCAAGGAUUGGAAGUAUGUAGAUGCUCAUCCUAAGGAGCUAAUCUUAGGAGACACAUCAAAGGGGGUUCAAACACGUUCUUCUCUUAAAAAUUUU